AAUCGGACAUAGUACGAUAAGGUUCGUAUGUCUAAAGGGAAACAGCCCAGAACAAGAGUAAUAAGGUUCCUAAAUUAUUAUUGAGUGAAAUUAAGGAUAUAAAUAUAUAAUACAACCAGGAAAUAGGCUUAGAAGCGGUCAUUUUUUAAAGAUCUCGUAAUAGAGCACUGGUUAAUUUAUUCUUUAAUAUAUAGAUACCUAAAAUUUAACGGAUCUAAAUAAUAUACCGAAACCUUGUACAUAUUUAAAUUAAUUUAAAUAUGAGAUAGCGGAACAUUGGAUAAAAUAGUAGAGAUAUAAAUAAAUUAUAUUAUAUUUAACUAAUCUAAGAAUCCAAGAGAGAAUGCUGACAUGAGUAACGAAAAAGGAUUAUAUCCUCGCCUUAAGCUUAUGGUAUUUUGA
Molecule: ribosomal RNA, 402 nt
Filed under: Paracoccidioides brasiliensis
Lineage: Eukaryota; Fungi; Ascomycota; Eurotiomycetes; Onygenales; Ajellomycetaceae
Description: LSU rRNA
Rfam family: Bacterial large subunit ribosomal RNA
Source: RNAcentral